This 599-nucleotide long non-coding RNA is filed under the name Phasianus colchicus (ring-necked pheasant). Its description in RNAcentral is "lncRNA (ENSPCLG00000001710.1)". Lineage: Eukaryota; Metazoa; Chordata; Aves; Galliformes; Phasianidae. The record is from RNAcentral.
CCAUGACAACACGGAGGAGGAAAAACUGCUUUGUGUCUUUUUUGGCUUUUAUAAAUAAGGAAGGAGAAGUCAGGAUCCUUUCAAGCCAUGCAGAUGCUUUGCAAUGCUUUGAUAGUGCUAAAGGCUCUGUAGGACAUCAUAAGACAGCAAUCAAAAAUGCACUGGAUGGUCUUGACUUCUAGGGAUCUCGGUCAGGUCAGUGAUGCCAAAGCCAGCAGUGAAGCACAAGAAGGUGGUGCAUUUUAAAAGCAACACAUCAAAUAGUGUGAGGUUGCAAUGAGCUCAUUAUGUAUUCUUUUCCUCAGAUGCAUCAUCUUCUGCCCACCUCCUCCAUUCAGCUUACCAGUGCUGCCACAUGGGAUUUCUGCAAUAGCAGCUACAGCACCAUGGCAGGCUUCUCCGGGGCAAAUUCUCUCAGGGAGGGCUUGCUGGGAACACUGAAACCUUCUGAACACACACGAGUUUUUCUCCUUGACACUGAAGUCCACCCACUCUUCAGGAGAGAGCCAGAUAAUACAGGCUACGGAUGUUCAGCAUUUGAUACAAUCACAAGUAUUUUGUCGAGAAGAGCCUGCACCCUCAGAUGGUCUCAGCUGUAG